UACGAAGGGGGCUAGCGUUGUUCGGAAUUACUGGGCGUAAAGGGCGUGUAGGCGGUCCGCUAAGACAGGUGUGAAAUUCCUGGGCUCAACCCAGGAAGUGCAUUCAAAACUACCUUGCUUGAAUCUCGGAGGGGGUCAGAGAAUUCCCGGUGUAGAGGUGAAAUUCGUAGAUAUCGGGAGGAAUACCAAUGGCGAAGGCGCUGACCUGGACGAAGAUUGACGCUGAGGUGCGAAAGCGUGGGGAGCAAACAGG
RNAcentral lists this ribosomal RNA (253 nucleotides) under uncultured bacterium. RNAcentral describes it as "partial 16S ribosomal RNA". It matches the Rfam family "Bacterial small subunit ribosomal RNA", at positions 524 to 776 of the family's 1533-position model. The record is from RNAcentral.